AAAACAUGGUGAGGGGAUUUCCUAAACAUUUCCUUAAAAUCUCUCAAUUCUCAUAAAUAAAUUCUUCUUCAAACUGAGUAAAAGAAAUGAUAUCAUUUCUAAGUUU
This is a small nucleolar RNA of Dendrobium catenatum, 106 nucleotides long. Lineage: Eukaryota; Viridiplantae; Streptophyta; Magnoliopsida; Asparagales; Orchidaceae. The record is from RefSeq and is a predicted model, not a curated record.